This 2541-nucleotide long non-coding RNA is filed under the name Scophthalmus maximus (turbot). RNAcentral's name for it is "lncRNA (ENSSMAG00000037501.1)". The record is from RNAcentral. Lineage: Eukaryota; Metazoa; Chordata; Actinopteri; Pleuronectiformes; Scophthalmidae.
AUCAAGUCUCUGAUCUCCCAGUGAAGAAGAAGAUCCAGAGGAUAAGAGUGAAUCUGGACUGGAACCAAGGAAAACUUUCCUUCUCCAAUCUGGAUACAAACACACACAUACACACCUUCACACACACUUUCACUGAGAAGAUGUUUCCAUACAUUAACACUGGGGAUCCCCUCCCAGUGAAGCUGCUACCAGUGAAACUCUGGAUCUCUUCCCAGUGAAGCUGUUACCAGUGAAACUCUUUAUAUUUGUUUGCUAUUUUGCCUAUAUUUGUAAAUUCUUUUAAAUUCUUUUUUAAUUUGUGUGGAGCCAUGAAGUCGAACAAACUGAUUAAGAUCCACGUUUUUACCCGUUUGCACAAGCAACUACAUUGUGUCUGGUAUCUGGUACAUACUGAACAUCGCAGCACAGCCGGUCAAACCCUGCACGAACCGCAACAUCAGCGUGUUUUGGCACAGGUGGGGCAGAAAGGUCUCACAGAGCCAGACAGCAGCCUGUUACACAACACACAAGAGCCACAGACCCUGAACUACAACAACCUACAUCAGCUUUCUCGCGAAAGGUGUUUGCAGGCGACAGCGCGAGUUUGUUCCCUUUGUGCUCUCACUCCCUACGACAUCAGCUCUCUGGUAGCCCUACAGCUGCUGUCAAUGCAACGGGGAAAGGGACACAUGCCGGCUGGAGGGGCGUGGGAAGCAAAGGGACGUCUCUAUUUUCCUCAAAGGGCCCUUUUCCGUUCUUUUUCGAUACAUUUGCAAAACACAUUUUGGGCUGCAAUUAAUGCAAGUCUCAUUUCAGAUCUCUAGUGACGGUUUUCUUUCCUUUUUACAAAAACGACUGGGUGCAUGUGUCCGGGACUUGGCAGGUCCCACACACACAUGUCGUAAAUAGCUGAUCAUUUACAUUAUUUAGAAAUGAGCCAUGUGUGUUUGUCCAAAACUAUCAAGUGACACAUGUUCAACUUAACAAUGGCAUAACGUUUGCAUGGAAAAAUAACAAUGUUAUGUCAGUUGCCUGCUAGGAUACGGAAUGUGGUCAUUGUUGCCGUCGCACUGCCUCUCUGUUGUUUGUAACUGAUUCGCAAUCUGAAACUCUGAACACGCCAACCACAGAAUAUUCAUUAAUCAGACUUCAUCGCACAGGAAUAGUGGAGCUGUUUUUGGAAACCCUUCUAGUUAUAUUAAAUAGGAAGGUGCCUGUUGUUGCAGACCAUGGGUAGUUUUUCCUCUUUGUUCAGUAUCGUCCUUUUAAUCUGUAAACUGCUGACAGCAGGUUUGCGUACUGCGCUUUUAUACAAACAUUUGCAUUUUUGUUAUUUGAGCACAGAGAAAGGCAUAGUGCCAACCAUUAACAAGCUCAUGGGGGUUUACAUAUAUGUGUCAGCCAUUGUUGGCCGCUGCGAAUCACGAGCCAACACACGAAUAAAUCACACUUCAAUCACACACACACCCACGCAUAGAGACAGACACAUAGGCUCAGUGAUUUCUUUGCAUUCAUCCGUUUUGUUCCUCUUUUACCACAAAAGGAGUAGGCUGAUGCAGAAACUGUGAGAUAGUCCCCGGAGAGCUCCCUCUACAGAGAAACUACAUGUUCCUAAUAAUAACAGUUUUCUGUGUGUGUGUGUGUGAUAACAAGGAAGUGUGACGGUGUGUGUGUGAGUCCCUGUUCAUCCCUCCAUAAUGAAUUCCUCAGCCCCUAGCCCUAACCACUACUUGCCUAUUGUAUAUCUAACCCUAACCUUAACUACUAACCCUAAAAUCUGAGGUAAAAAGUAGCCUAUGAACAAAACACACACACACACACACACACAUACACACGCAAACACACACAAAAUAGGAGUUAAAAGUAGCCAAUGAAAAAAAGUCACAAAAUAUACAUGCAUUCCUUAACAAUGAUAUACAUGCUUGUCUGACUCACGUGGAGCUCCUGAUGGAAAAUCCCCAAUGAAUCCAUAUGUGAAUUUGAUGACGGUGAAAGUACACGUUUAUGCCAAGUGACUGUUUUCAUCCAUUUACUAGAUGUUCAUUGUGGAAAUUGCUCUGGCCACAUCUACGGAUAAUUCAUGUGGAAUAUUUGCAAUCUGGACAAACUGCUGUCCAUACCGGACAACUCCAACCACCCGCUGCACAACACCUUCACCAGGCAGAGGAGUGUGUUCAGUGGCCGACUGCUGUCAAAGUCCAGCUCCACCAACAGUCCCCCUGGCCAUCAGACUGUACAACAGCUCCUAGUAAAGGCAGGGAGGACAAUAGAAAAGGACAAUUUAUUUCUACCUUCAUUUGCACAUCCAUUUUGCACCGUUCCCGUUUUGCACUGUCAUAAGCUAGUUUUUAUAGUUAUAGUUUAAUAUUUAACUUAAUUUUGUAUUUUUAUUUUAUGUAGGAUUGAUGUAUGUUUAAUGUAUGUAUGUUUGUAAAUGCUGCUGGAUGCCUGAAUUUCCCUCAGGAUAAAUAAAGUAUCUACUAAACUAAACUAAACCCAAUGUAGAUUGUCUCUCUCAGCACAACAGCAUAUGCUAAACAACCAUGGUCUCCAAGGUCUCUC